UGGGGAAUAUUGGGCAAUGGGCGCAAGCCUGACCCAGCAACGCCGCGUGAAGGAAGAAGGCUUUCGGGUUGUAAACUUCUUUUAAGGGGGAAGAGCAGAAGACGGUACCCCUUGAAUAAGCCACGGCUAACUACGUGCC
RNAcentral lists this ribosomal RNA (139 nucleotides) under uncultured bacterium. Its description in RNAcentral is "partial 16S ribosomal RNA". It matches the Rfam family "Bacterial small subunit ribosomal RNA", at positions 355 to 509 of the family's 1533-position model. The record is from RNAcentral.